AGCACGGAAUUUUUGAAACAAAUGUCUUCUGCGGCGAGUACCCAUCGAGCCAAAUUUGCAUCAAAGGAUGGAAAGCCAGGGAAUCCCCACAUGACUGGAUCAUCCAACGUGGACAUGUGANGGGGUACCCCAGGGGGUCGAGAUCGGACAAGAUGAACAAGUGUAUCCGCAUUAUGAACGGAGGUGGUGUUGAGAAGAUUGGCUACUGCCUUAGCGAAUCCCCCUACUGCCAGGAAUACCAUCUUCCUUGGAAUCCCUCCCAUGUGCUUUCCAUUUCCUGCCCAUUCCAAUUUUCGCCCCAUUUAUUGACACACUCCUUAGUCCUGAAUAAGAUGGACAAACUCCAUACUCGACUUCUGCAGACUUCAAUUGGGUUUUGGGUAAGAU
This 387-nucleotide unclassified non-coding RNA is filed under the name Hevea brasiliensis (rubber tree). The record is from RNAcentral. Lineage: Eukaryota; Viridiplantae; Streptophyta; Magnoliopsida; Malpighiales; Euphorbiaceae.